RNAcentral lists this ribosomal RNA (258 nucleotides) under uncultured bacterium. Its description in RNAcentral is "partial 16S ribosomal RNA". It matches the Rfam family "Bacterial small subunit ribosomal RNA", at positions 30 to 289 of the family's 1533-position model. The record is from RNAcentral.
UUGAACGCUGGCGGCAGGCCUAACACAUGCAAGUCGAGCGGAUGAAGGGGGCUUGCUCCUGGAUUCAGCGGCGGACGGGUGAGUAAUGCCUAGGAAUCUGCCUGGUAGUGGGGGAUAACGUCCGGAAACGGGCGCUAAUACCGCAUACGUCCUGAGGGAGAAAGUGGGGGAUCUUCGGACCUCACGCUAUCAGAUGAGCCUAGGUCGGAUUAGCUAGUUGGUGGGGUAAAGGCCUACCAAGGCGACGAUCCGUAACUG